This is a long non-coding RNA of Gallus gallus (chicken), 3826 nucleotides long. The record is from Ensembl. Lineage: Eukaryota; Metazoa; Chordata; Aves; Galliformes; Phasianidae.
AGAAAACAUAGAGAUACCUGCAAAUGAAAAAUAGAGCGAGGACUUCUGCAACAGGGAAAUUCUGAAAGAGUCUCUUUGUACAUCAGUAAAUUCCAAUACCUGCACUUAGCCAGGAUAUUUCAGGGGUUGGUGUAUUUCUUCCUCCUAGACCACCACAAUCCCUGGAGGAUAGCUAGCUGCUCUCCUGCCACUCUUGAUGGACAAGCCCUGGUUUUCACCCACUGUGACAUUCUGUGACAAACGCCAUGCACUCCAUUUUUUUCCUUGCUGUUUGUAAAACUUCCCAGCAUAAAAAUGUAGAGAUGGAGUUUGGAUCUCUUUCACUGGCAGUGACACACAGUGGGCAGUGCAUUGCUCAAGAGACUCGGUUGUAUUUCCAGCACUGACAAAGGCAGAAGGUACAUGACCAGGAGAAAUUCAUUUCACCAGCAAGAACCUCAUCUUUCCUGCUGUUAAAUGAGAAAUCUGUCCAGAAGAUUCCCCAUUAAUCAACAGCAACAAGGAAUCUCUCACCUCUGAGGGAAUAUUUAACUUGAACUUGCAUGUGUACACUGAAAUCUGAGUGUAGAUCCCAUCAUGUGGGCACAUCCCAGCACUGACUUGCCUGAGCUCAUUAUCUGCUCUCUCUGGAGCAAUGAAGCACAGCUUUAAAAUUGGUUUCCUGCAGUUUUGCCCCCCCUCUCUCCCCUCACCCCCUCGCCCCCCCUUUUUUUUUCCCAUUUCAGUCUCACCCAAGUGCAUAAUGAAAAAAUGUUGUGGCUUCGCAUGCAAAUAAAAUUUAACAUAACGACUUUCUGAGCUAAUGCUUAGCUCAGGUAAUGCACCAGGGGGCUUUCUGUUGCCAGGCCAUUUCCCCACUCCAUUGUAAAACAUUAAGCUGUUGAAAAGCAAAUCAUGAUUGCUAAGUUGGGUGGCUGAUGGAAGGAACAAAGAGUUUUGGAUACACGUCAAGGAAGGAACAAAGAGUUUUGGAUACAUGUCAAAUGUUCUGGAAGACUGGCUGACCAAAACCACUUCAGGGGUGAUCAUUAUCAGUAUAUCUGAGCAAUUAGUCUCAUUUUCCAGCAGAUAGCAGCUACUAACCACAGCUCAGUGCUCUGCGGAACAUAGCCACUUUUCUAGCUCUUUGAUACAACCUGUCACUGACCUUUCAGGGGUCUGCUCAGGGCUGUUCUGCAGCCCAGGCAAUUGGAUCAGAUCUAACUGCUAUAAACCAAGACCAAGAAAUUCCUCUGUAAAGUGAUACAUUUCUAGUGUGAAUGCCAUAUCUUGUGCUGCUCGUAUCAGCUGCUCCAUGAUAUUGAAUGUACAAACUGUUUAAAAUAGCAAAGUGAACUUCUGAAGUGUUAUUUUGCUGUCACAAAAGCAUUUGCAGGUUGGAUAUUCAGAAAAAUUUAUUCUCUGAAAGAGUAGUCAGGCAUAGAUCAGGCUGCCCAGGGAGGUGGGGAAGUUACCGCCCCUGGAGGUGUUCAAGGAGCAUGAAGAUCACACAAUGACUUGAGUUGGGUUGGGUUGGAAGGGAUCUCAGAGAUAAUCAGAACGUAGAGAAGCUUUUCUCCCCUGACUUGGCCUGGGACCAAUUUCACCAUAAUUCAGCUUUGUGUUGUCAGACACCCCAAGGAGAUGGUUGAUCUCAGUGGUUCGUAGACUGGCAGUUUAUCUCUGCCUCUGCUAGGCCAAGAUGGGUUUUACAUAUGUUCCUGAAGUGCUGAGGAAUUGCAAAGCAUGUAGGAAGUCUCAGAUUCCACGUUGCUUCCAAUAAAAGAUACCUGCAUGCAGAUAUUUAGGAAGAUGAUACUCUUUGUAUGAGUCACCAUGAUCUGUAAGUUUAUUCCAUAAUGAAACAUGGGCUUUUAGGGUCAAAAAGUUAUGUAAUUGCAGAGAUGUGGAUAUUCACAAGUUGAAACAAGAUUAGUAAAUCCAUCUUUUGACUAAUACAUCCAUCUACCCAACAAAUUUCUUACCGGAACACCGUCAGGUUCCAGUCCAUUGACUCUAAGAAUUUGAACUCUAAAAGUUCAAAGUCUUAGAAAAAAAAAAAACUUACUAUUAUAAUGCUAUUACUAUUAUAUUGGCUCGCAGCUUGUUGCAGCUCUGUGUUGCUUAUGUGCCCUUAUUCUUAAAGCCUUCCUAUCUCAAACUAAUUAAUACAUGAUGCUGUUUUAAAGGUACUUUACCUUUGACAAUGACCCUUGUAAGUGGUCCUAUCAUUUGUUUUAACUAUUGUCAGCUUCUCCUUCUUUGUGCUGAGACUGUCAUUAUUUCAUAUCAGGUGGUUUCUUCUGAAAACUGCUCUCAUAUAUACGGGCAUUUAAUAGUUACUGGUUGUACACUGAAGUGCUCUUGUAAGUUCUCUGUUGUUAUCCACUGGACUGUGACAAUCUCCACGCUCCAGCUCAUCAGCCACUGUGAAAUGUCACUAUUUCAUGUUAUGUUAAUUGCCAUAAAAGCAUGAUUUGAUAUGAAAAGCACUCCAAAUUUCAAAGUGCUGGGCUCAAUCUAUCGGAUUAUUACUAAAAGGUAAAGACAGCUUUGCAGUGGAUUAGGCAAAGUGCACUCCUUCGAGAGCAGAGUCGUGAGGGUUAUCUCACAUCUGUUCAGAAGUGGAUGCUCAGAGAAGAAACACCAUUAUCCCAUUGGACAGCACUAAAUAUGCUGCCACAAGAUUCCUAAGAUACUUGAGAUUAUACUCUUAUCUUAUUUUUCCUUGGGAGGACUUCAGAUAUCUCAAACUCAGCAAAUAUGCCAUUUACUUAGCUUAAUUACUCAUUGACAUGACAUCUCUGUUUUCGGUAUCACCAGAGCCAUGUGCUCGUUGUCCUCAUGAAUUAUGAGAAGGACUGCAAUUUCAGACAAGUUGAACACAAUUGAAAAACAUUGCAUGGCUGUGGUUCACCACUACUUUGCAUAAAUAAACUGCUCCAAGUAGACAUUGGGUAACAUUUCAUUCCCUCCCUCCCCAGUAUCCUCGGUUACUCUGUCACCUUUUGUUAAAUGGAUAUAAAUGAUAAACGUUAACAAACUCAUGUGCCAGUCACACGUCAAGAAAAGAAGCAAACAUGAAAUUAACACAAGUUAAUGUCAUGCUGUUUACAGAACAUUUAAAGUCUUGAAAUGUAACUUCUUGUGGUUUAAAGCAAUGACCAUUUGUAAGUCACGUUAUUUUCUGCAUUACGAGUUUCAGCCCUAAUUUUGAUGAGGAGUGCCUUUCUAAUCUAACAGUGUCCUUUGGAUUUAAACUUAGUAGAUUAAUAUGCACACAAAAAAAAAAUAGAUAAAGCACCUCUAAUAUUUUCCUGGUGGUUGGGUUUUACUUUGCAUGACUGACUCAUUAUGUGCAAUUAAUAUUGGCAUGAUUGCAGUUUGGUAAAUUAAACUACAUGCCCACGGAUGAAAAGCAGAGCCACAGAAUAACUUCCUUGCAGGUGAGCCAGCCAUGUAAAGUCACAACAAUUUGCAACAAGCUGCUAAAAAAGAAGGAGCCAAAUAAAUCUAAUGCUUAAUUUGCUGUUGGCUGUGGUAACAAAGUUCACUGGCCGUAAGAAAUUGGCAGAGAUCUGAAUCUGAGCAAGAACCUUUGCAAUAACCUCAGCUUGGACCGUGAUGUUGCUGACCUCAAUUUAUGAACAGAAAGGAAUUAGCAAACAUAAUCUCAUGCAUUGCUCAAAUGAAAUUCUGCUCUGUGCAGCGCUGCAGUUCUGGUGGUCAUGUCCAUCAAACACAGCUCCAGUGCUGCAGACCAGCUACGUGCUGACCAUCACAGACCCCAUUCCAGCAAGGUGUAAGGGAUGAAUCAAAUGAUAUGUUCUCCUCAUCUUCUGUCUAG